GGGCUGGGGCUUGGUGGCAGAGCACUUGCCUAGCAUGUGAGAGGGACUGGGUUCAAUCCCCAGCACUACA
RNAcentral lists this transfer RNA (70 nucleotides) under Marmota monax (woodchuck). Its description in RNAcentral is "tRNA.Ala". The record is from RNAcentral. Lineage: Eukaryota; Metazoa; Chordata; Mammalia; Rodentia; Sciuridae.